Pyrus x bretschneideri (Chinese white pear) is the source of this 1296-nucleotide RNA transcript. It is a transcript of the gene named serine/threonine-protein phosphatase 7-like, with no coding region annotated. The record is from RefSeq and is a predicted model, not a curated record. The transcript has 5 exons. Lineage: Eukaryota; Viridiplantae; Streptophyta; Magnoliopsida; Rosales; Rosaceae.
GCUCCGUGGCUUUAGAAACCCUAAGCCCUUUCUCCCACAUGUCGCAGCUCUGUGUCUCUUUUCUCUCGGACCCCAUUUCUCUCUAAAACGAAGAGACUCUCUCGGAGCUCUUCCCAUUUUCAAAACUCUCAAGCCCAGUCAUCAGUUGGAACCUCCCGUUAAAACAGCGAAAUAUGUCUGAGAACUAUUUUCCUUGAUGUGUCUCUGUGGAAGCUUACACUAAUGUUCUUCUGUAUUAGGUACCCUAGAUUCACCAAGAGACUGAAAAGAUUGACUCGAAUAGUCUCCAAACUCACGGAUCUGCAAAUUUUUUGAGCGUAGAACCCAGAGAAAACAACCCCUAAGCUGCCGGUCCAGUGGUCCCAGAAGGCAAAAUAAACGGCAAAUGUCUCGGCCUCUGCAAAUCAGGAAGGGAACCUUCAUUCUGGAAGAUGGACAAGAGCAAACCAAAGGAAGAUGAGUUCGGUCAUCACAGAUCCCAAACGGCAACUGCAGCGGACGAAUCAUGGCAAAAGCUUCCACGAACCCCAGAUCUGUGCAUCUGGGAGGCGACGGAAGAUAGGUACAUAAAUAAAGGAGCUUACAUCGUUCUAGAACCCCUUACUUUUGAUAAUCCUGUUAUCCGUAGCUUCGAAGAAAUCACUCCAAGACCUCAGAACUGCUGCUACUGUUCUGACUACUAAAUUGAACCCGAACAAAAAUAUGUCCGCGCACAGGGGUGACCGCAGCUAAUGUCCGCGCGCGGGGGUGACCGUGUUUAAUGUCCGUGUGGAUCAAUAUUUUACGGCAAGGUGACCUUUUGUUGGGAGAAUACCACACCAAUAACCUGGCUGGAUUGACCUUUGUGUGUGAUUCCCAUUUCCAAUCUUCAUCCCUUGAUCAUCUUCCUCAAGUUUGAUUUCCACAGAAGCUCAUCUCCGUACAUACAUGUGGGAUGUCACGGUAAAAACAAUUCAAACAAAUUACGCAUUUUUUUAUAUAACAAGGCGUGGUUGAAUUUGAAAUACCGUGACAUUCCAAUUGCGGGGAAGUUGUUCGCAUUGGUCCUAGAAUAUUUAAAAUUCCAUUCAAACUCAGAUAUCAAAGGACAACAACCUGAAUAUUCAAAGUGCACUUAAUUUGGCAACGUUAUUACUUAAACAGUUGCUUUCUAUCAUUUUUAUUGGUUUUAGGGUGGAAAGUGAAGCAAUUUUCAAGUGUGAUGUGCUGUACUAAGGGCUCCAUCCGUGUGGGAUUGCUUGGUCUCAAACCAAUCUUAAUGAAGCAAAGGCUUGUUUAAAAGUGUUUUUAAAAAAU